GAGUUGCGAACGGGUGAGUAACGCGUAGGUAACCUGCCUUGUAGCGGGGGAUAACUAUUGGAAACGAUAGCUAAUACCGCAUAACAAUGGAUGACACAUGUCAUUUAUUUGAAAGGGGCAAUUGCUCCACUACAAGAUGGACCUGCGUUGUAUUAGCUAGUAGGUGAGGUAACGGCUCACCUAGGCGACGAUACAUAGCCGACCUGAGAGGGUGAUCGGCCACACUGGGACUGAGACACGGCCCAGACUCCUACGGGAGGCAGCAGUAGGGAAUCUUCGGCAAUGGGGGCAACCCUGACCGAGCAACGCCGCGUGAGUGAAGAAGGUUUUCGGAUCGUAAAGCUCUGUUGUAAGUCAAGAACGAGUGUGAGAGUGGAAAGUUCACACUGUGACGGUAGCUUACCAGAAAGGGACGGCUAACUACGUGCCAGCAGCCGCGGUAAUACGUAGGUCCCGAGCGUUGUCCGGAUUUAUUGGGCGUAAAGCGAGCGCAGGCGGUUUGAUAAGUCUGAAGUUAAAGGCUGUGGCUCAACCAUAGUUCGCUUUGGAAACUGUCAAACUUGAGUGCAGAAGGGGAGAGUGGAAUUCCAUGUGUAGCGGUGAAAUGCGUAGAUAUAUGGAGGAACACCGGUGGCGAAAGCGGCUCUCUGGUCUGUAACUGACGCUGAGGCUCGAAAGCGUGGGGAGCGAACAGGAUUAGAUACCCUGGUAGUCCACGCCGUAAACGAUGAGUGCUAGGUGUUGGAUCCUUUCCGGGAUUCAGUGCCGCAGCUAACGCAUUAAGCACUCCGCCUGGGGAGUACGACCGCAAGGUUGAAACUCAAAGGAAUUGACGGGGGCCCGCACAAGCGGUGGAGCAUGUGGUUUAAUUCGAAGCAACGCGAAGAACCUUACCAGGUCUUGACAUCCCGAUGCUAUUUCUAGAGAUAGAAAGUUACUUCGGUACAUCGGUGACAGGUGGUGCAUGGUUGUCGUCAGCUCGUGUCGUGAGAUGUUGGGUUAAGUCCCGCAACGAGCGCAACCCCUAUUGUUAGUUGCCAUCAUUCAGUUGGGCACUCUAGCGAGACUGCCGGUAAUAAACCGGAGGAAGGUGGGGAUGACGUCAAAUCAUCAUGCCCCUUAUGACCUGGGCUACACACGUGCUACAAUGGUUGGUACAACGAGUUGCGAGUCGGUGACGGCAAGCUAAUCUCUUAAAGCCAAUCUCAGUUCGGAUUGUAGGCUGCAACUCGCCUACAUGAAGUCGGAAUCGCUAGUAAUCGCGGAUCAGCACGCCGCGGUGAAUACGUUCCCGGGCCUUGUACACACCGCCCGUCACACCACGAGAGUUUGUAACACCCGAAGUCGGUGAGGUAACCAUUUGGAGCCAGCCGCCUAAGGUGGGAUAGAUGAUUGGGGUGA
RNAcentral lists this ribosomal RNA (1401 nucleotides) under uncultured organism. RNAcentral's name for it is "SSU rRNA". It matches the Rfam family "Bacterial small subunit ribosomal RNA". The record is from RNAcentral.